CUUGGAAACGGUUGCCCUCCUCCUACUUCACGCGCUCGCGUUGAAAUUAAAAUUAAAAUCCAAAUAAAGUUAAUUAUUUUGCAGUGCGAAUUGACACAGUUUCGUUUGGAUUAACUUGUUCCAAUUCGGAGUGCAACUGAAAACAAAACUGCAGCCAAACAGGGCAAACAGCCAAACACGUUCUACAUUGCGUUCAAUGCUAUGCGGUUGGGCGACAAUGGAUGCAGCACAUCAGUGCCGGCAUCCGGUUCGGCUUUGUUCUGGUCCCGUUCUGGCUGGCUCUGGCUUUGGCCUGCGCUCACAACUGUCAGCAGCCAACGGUAGCACAUCGAUGAUGGCCCGGUCGGCCAGGUCGGGUUCGUCUUCCCUGCUCCGUUGUGCUCCGGUCUGGUCUGGUCUGGCCCCUUCGCUGUCUCCCGGC
Molecule: long non-coding RNA, 421 nt
Filed under: Drosophila guanche
Lineage: Eukaryota; Metazoa; Arthropoda; Insecta; Diptera; Drosophilidae
Source: RNAcentral